UGGCUUUCCGCAUGCGCAGUGUGAACGCGCGGGACCGUCCCGGAAGACAAACAGUGGAAGGCUAACGUUUGGGAAAGCUCCGUACUUUGAAACAAAGGAGACAGUGACGAGCAGCAUGGCAGACGACGACUUCAACCAAUCCCUCACCCCUCCAGUCUCCCCUCCAGAUGGUCUGUGCGAGCUUUCCCCAGCCAGACCACCAUGGUUCUGCUGCUCUGAAGCUAAGGAGGAUCCAACUGGAGCACUCUCAAAUGAGGGAUACACUGCUAGAGGUUCAGUGAAAAGGCUGCUGCUGUGUCUAGAUCCAGCCCCCGCAGACUAUGAGAGCGACACAGUGGAGCUCUUUGGUUUAACCUGGGUUACAGAGACCGCAUUGGUUGAAUCAACAAGGCUGCUCUUUGGCUUACUCAGGCAAAAGAUAUACAGGCUUGAGACGAUGGCACAAUGCAUCUCACAUGACUUUGGUCAAAGAGGCAACCUUCACUCUGAGGCCUCUGAGAUCAGACAGCAGUGUGUUUCAUUUCUUCAAUAUGUUAAAGUCUUCCUACACAGAUACCUGAAGGUUUCCUGUAUCUUUGAUGAAAAUCCACCCCACCCUUAUGAGGAGUUGGAGGGUCAAGUUCCAUCUGUUCUAAUAGAGGAGUUGUUUGGCAUCAUUUUCCUCAUUGGACGUCUUAAAGACCUGCCUACCAACAUUCAGAAUGCUUUCAAGAUACAGAACCCUGGAAAGAUCUUUCCUCCCGUUUGGCAUUUGUUGCACCUUCACCUUGACAUCCACUGGUCAGUCUUGGAGAUCCUCCACCUAUUUGGCCAUAAGAUGCAAGGCCAUGUGGUUUAUGCACACCAGUUUGUGAACCUGACUGGAGAGAACUUGACUGAUACCAUUCUGUUUGAGGAGCACCUGUGCAGCCUCCUGUGUGACCUUACUGGCCUGGCCAUGGGCAAGUACAGCAAGGUGAGGCCGACAGAGGUUCUUAGCAGUCAUCAUUACCUCUGCUCCUGCACCAAAGAGCUGUGGAUCCUGGUCAUUCACCUUUUGCAAUUUAGGAAUAAAAGGCUACACUCACAGUCUUUUUGGAGCUAUAUGAACUCAUUGUUGAGGCCUCUAAUAUCAGGAAAACCUGCAGCUGAACGGUUCAGUGGCCUCCCUACACACUGCAAGGACCCUCUAGGCUUCACAUGGUGGCUGCUCACUCAUUUAGCAAUCUUAGGCCAAUACAAUCAAAAUGGAACAAUCUCGGAUGAGAAAUCCCUAGAUGACAACUGGACAUUCGUGGAAGAGUUGCUUAAAUUCACUUGUAAGCCACAGCGAGAUCUUGGAGAGGAGCAAGUCAGGAUGCAUGUGCACUGCUGUCUUUCUCUCUGUCUCCUCUGGAUCCCCAGUACCACUGCUGUCUCCACCCUCUGGGACUACUACAGCAAAAACCUGGGUGCCUCAUUCACUGUGCCGUGGCUUGGAGUGAGCGGCCUGGGCACUUUGUGUAAGACACCCCUGUCUCUGUUGGAGCAGGCACGCAACUGUUGUUUGCCUUCUCCCCUCCGCUCCUCAGGACACACCCAGUUGUACCUUUCAGCCAGUUCAUUCCACAUCUUCCUGCGAGUGCUCUCCCUGUGCCUGUCUCAGGACAGGGUUGGGGGAGUACCACAGAGACAGAUCAAAGCAAGGAUUUUCUCUAAGUUUUCCUCAAAGAAGAUGCAGGAGCUGUCGGAGGCUGGCCUCAUGAACUUCCUGCUACUGUUUCUGGUGAUUGCCAGGAAGGUGGAGCUGGAGGAUGUUGCCAGUAAAACCUGUGAGCUGCUAGGUUUCCUGCCAUCUGACUGUCCCCCAGGACACCGCACGCUGGUGUGGAAGGGACAACUGGCACUGGUGUUGUUAUUUCAGGAGAAGGGCUUGGAUGUUGGCCCACUAGCUAGUGGGCUGGCCUCAUCAUUCAAUGAUACCGCUAAGGAGUUCUACAAUAAAACUACAGAGAUGUCUCGUAAACUUGCCCUCUGGGGGCCUCUUGGAUCAUACCUGGAGGGGGUGGCUGAAGUGUUCGAAACAAGCACCAGGCUCAACCUAUCAGAGGAAAAACUUCUCAAUGAAGGCUUUGUUUGGUUGCUGCCAGCCUGCCGUCAGCACGAACUAAACUCUUUACUUGGCUUUCUCCAGACUGUCCUCGCCCAGCUCAGACUGGCGCAUCAACGCUGUGUCCAGUCAGGCCCCACCUUGACCUGGAUGACUACCAGCAAUGUUGUGAAAGAGCCCCACCUAGCGGUAGCAGCUGCACUCUGGGCCCACUUCUUUCCAUUCCUUCGGGAUUUACGCCUCUCUCAGACUCCUCCAGCCCAGUUUGCAGAUGCGGCUGCAGGCUUCACUCUUCUGGCCUUUGAGCUGCCCACUUCUGCACCCCAGGACCUUCAACCCAAUCCAGUUCAGUCCAUCUUGCAAUGCUUCGGCUGGGAUGACAUGGUUGAUCCACUUGUUGUCACGCGGUACCUUCCACAUCUACUCCAAAACAGAGCGCUCGUGUCUUCACUCAGCGGUGAUCGUGGCAUCAUUGUCUCAGGUUCAUCACAAAGUAUGUCAGUCAGAGCCUGGUUCAGAUGUGUUCUACAGCAAUACCUUCACAAGAGCCCUGAUGGAUCUGAUAGCAGAGCAGACCGGGCUUUGGAGGAGCAGCUGUGUGAACUGACUCGCCUGGUGCUGAUGCUUCCUGAGGUGGACAGUCUUCUGCAGAGAGCAAACCUCUGUCCAACGGCCUCCAUGACAAAGCCCGUCUCAGCGCUGGAGAUGUUUGUAAAGGCUGUAGGCAUGGUGUACAGCAGACUGCAGGUUUUGUCUGAGCGUUCUGCCAUGGUGACCAGAGCGCUGGACUACAUGGGAGACAUCCUUAAACAUAUUAAACCCUCUUUGGUCAGCAAGAAUCAGAAAGGAAUUCAACUGGCAUAUUGGGUCGUUGGCUGUGUAGUGAAGCAUUGGAGCCUCCUGCUGGUCACAUCCAAAGCGCAGCAGUUGCUCUUCCGCAUUGUGGAUCGACUGCUACUCCCCCACAAUGUCACUCAGCAAGACAAAGCUCUCCGGGACAGCCUGCCACUCUAUCUACAGAAAUCAAGGAUCUCGUUUGAUGUCCGUCCCGUGUCUGAGAUGCACAAAAAUGAGCAGGGACGCAUAAAACAUGAUCAGUCUGCGUCCAUCAACGCUCAGACGCCCAGCAUUGCUUACCUGCGUGUGUAUGUGUGCGCGUGCAUGUGUGUGCGUGCACCCCUGUGUGUUGCUGAAGUGCUUCAGCCAAUCAUUAUCCACAAAAAAAGAGUCCUGUCUUGAUGCUAGCCAAUCAGAGGCAGAGGAGGGCGGGUUACCAUUCCAAAAGUACAACAGACUUUUCCCCAUCCAUACCACCCAUUCUCAACACCGCAUAUCCUGGUUAGGUUCAUUGGGCGCUGCAACCUAUCCCGGGUGACUUCUGGCGAAAGGCAGAUUACACCCUGAACUGGUCGCCAGUCAGUCGCAGAAUUUGCUAUCAUGGCAGGCCUAAACACAAUAUAUUGAGCGAGAGUAAGAGCAAUGGAUAACACAAAUAUUGUGAAUAAAAUUGUGAAUUGUGAUUAAAAAUCUGCAAUAUAGCGGGACCGCGAAGCAAAAACCGUGACAGAGCGGAGGAUUACAAUAUCUGUAUUCCGUAAUGAUAAAUUGCAGGGAUUCAUUGUUUCCAUCACGUGUAUCCUCACAUAGUCUCAACUGUAAAACGAUGUAUGAAUAAGUAUUAGUUACUAUUUCAUAUUUAGUCAGCCCAGUACUUGUACUGUAAAUCCUGCAGGUAAAUAAAUGUACCUUGAGACCAUUCCCAUAACUGUGCGUAAAAUUAACUACUUCACGUAUACACGCGCGCGCACGCACACACACACACACAAUCCAGCCUGCUGCAACACAGCGCGCUGACGGCAGCGUCUUUGUCACCAAAACUAUUUUGAAUUAAGAAAGAAGGCUUCUUUCACGCUGAUUGAUACAAGAAGACACAAGGUGAUUAUAUUAUGAUUAAACGGGACUCAGAGCAACCCAAAAGAUAGUUCUAAAUAGUCUGCAAAGCAGCCUCGCUGAACGGCUUCGUCAAAGAGCGACAGACAGGGUUAGCAAUUUUGACGCAUUCAGACAACUUCAAAUAGAAGUUUACCAAGUGUGAAUUAUUUUGUGACAAGCAAGCUUUUGCAUUUAACGAGGUCAUAAAUCAGUAGUGUCGUUUGUAGAUUAGUGACUUCACGUACGUGACGUUUCCACCAAUUACGUAGCUGCAUGGACUGUCAUUAUAAACCAUCCAUCCAUCUGACCAUUUUCUACCGCUUAUCCGAGGUCGGGUCGCCGGGGCAGUAGCUUUAGCAGAGACGCCCAGACUUCCCUCUCCCCAGCCACUUCACUUAUCUCUUCCGGGGGGAUCCCGAGGCGUUCCCAGGCCAGCCGAAAGACGUAGUCUCUCCAGCGUGUCCUGGGUCAACCACGGGGUCUCCUCCUGGUGGGACAUGCCCGGAACACCUCACCAGGGAAGCGUCCAGGAGGUAUCCAAAUCAGAUGCCCCGGCCACCUCAUCUGGCUCCUCUCAAUGUGGAGGAGCAGCAGCUCUACUCUGAGCUCCUCUGGGAUUACCCAUCUUCUCACCCUAUCGCUAAGGGGGCUGUCAGUGGCUUCUGGUGUGUCCCAGUCGCAAGGAGGGUACCUGAAGCAGCAGCUGCACGCUGUCAUCCGAAGAUAUCUCGACCAUUUCCUUCCUGCCUCAUCUUCAUUGGGCAGCAUUGCCAAU
RNA transcript from Phyllopteryx taeniolatus (common seadragon), 4775 nucleotides. It is a transcript of the gene named MMS22-like, DNA repair protein, with no coding region annotated. The record is from RefSeq and is a predicted model, not a curated record. The transcript is spliced from 23 exons. Lineage: Eukaryota; Metazoa; Chordata; Actinopteri; Syngnathiformes; Syngnathidae.